GGGAAUAUAAUUCAGAGGUAGAUGGAGUAAGUAACUCGUGUCGCUGGUUCGAAUCCAGCUAUUCCCGCCA
This 70-nucleotide transfer RNA is filed under the name Myoviridae sp. ctZ2t4. RNAcentral's name for it is "tRNA-Thr". It matches the Rfam family "tRNA". From Rfam's summary of the family: Transfer RNA (tRNA) molecules are approximately 80 nucleotides in length. Their secondary structure includes four short double-helical elements and three loops (D, anti-codon, and T loops). The record is from RNAcentral. Lineage: Duplodnaviria; Heunggongvirae; Uroviricota; Caudoviricetes.